Molecule: ribosomal RNA, 467 nt
Filed under: uncultured bacterium
Lineage: Bacteria
Description: partial 16S ribosomal RNA
Rfam family: Bacterial small subunit ribosomal RNA
Source: RNAcentral
ACGCACGCUGGCGGCGUGCUUAACAACUGCAAGUCGAACGGAAAGGCCCCGCUUUUUUGGGGUGCUCGAGUGGCGAACGGGUGAGUAACACGUGAGUAACCUGCCCUUGACUUUGGGAUAACUUCAGGAAACUGGGGCUAAUACCGGAUAGGAGCUCCUGCUGCAUGGUGGGGGUUGGAAAGUUUCGGCGGUUGGGGAUGGACUCGCGGCUUAUCAGCUUGUUGGUGGGGUAGUGGCUUACCAAGGCUUUGACGGGUAGCCGGCCGGAGAGGGUGACCGGCCACAUUGGGACUGAGAUACGGCCCAGACUCCUACGGGAGGCAGCAGUGGGGAAUAUUGCACAAUGGGCGGAAGCCUGAUGCAGCAACGCCGCGUGCGGGAUGACGGCCUUCGGGUUGUAAACCGCUUUCGCCUGUGACGAAGCGUGAGUGACGGUAAUGGGUAAAGAAGCACCGGCUAACUACGUG